This 496-nucleotide ribosomal RNA is filed under the name uncultured bacterium. RNAcentral describes it as "partial 16S ribosomal RNA". It matches the Rfam family "Bacterial small subunit ribosomal RNA", at positions 28 to 506 of the family's 1533-position model. The record is from RNAcentral.
GAUGAACGCUGGCGGCGUGCCUAAUACAUGCAAGUCGAGCGAACGGACGAGAAGCUUGCUUCUCUGAUGUUAGCGGCGGACGGGUGAGUAACACGUGGAUAACCUACCUAUAAGACUGGGAUAACUUCGGGAAACCGGAGCUAAUACCGGAUAAUAUUUUGAACCGCAUGGUUCAAAAGUGAAAGACGGUCUUGCUGUCACUUAUAGAUGGAUCCGCGCUGCAUUAGCUAGUUGGUAAGGUAACGGCUUACCAAGGCAACGAUGCAUAGCCGACCUGAGAGGGUGAUCGGCGACACUGGAGCUGAGACGCGGUCCAGACUCCUACGGGAGGCAGCAGUAGGGAAUCUUCCGCAAUGGGCGAAAGCCUGACGGAGCAACGCCGCGUGAGUGAUGAAGGUCUGCGGAUCGUAAAACUCUGUUAUUAGGGAAGAACAUAUGUGUAAGUAACUGUGCACAUCUUGACGGUACCUAAUCAGAAAGCCACGGCUAACUACGU